Long non-coding RNA from Syngnathoides biaculeatus (alligator pipefish), 462 nucleotides. RefSeq lists it as uncharacterized. The record is from RefSeq and is a predicted model, not a curated record. The transcript is spliced from 3 exons. NCBI's taxonomy places the organism in Eukaryota, Metazoa, Chordata, Actinopteri, Syngnathiformes, Syngnathidae.
GGUGUCCAUUAGGUGCUAACGAAUUUUUGAGUUUAUCCGUGUGUAUUACGAUGGGUUAGGGUUAGGUUUACGUCGUUCACGUCGUAUAUGCUGCAUAUAUAAAUAUCUUUAAAUAUCACGGCUGCCGUUGUGGGUUUCCGUAGUGUAGUGGUUAUCACGUUCGCCUCACACGCGAAAGGUCCCCGGUUCGAAACCGGGCGGAAACAUCCCCUCCUUUUCUGAACAGGGAAUGCAUUGGAAAAAAAGUUCCAUAGGUUCCAGCACUCCCGCUUGUGAGGAUCACCAGUUCAAGUAAUGGGUCCACGUGGUACGUUCCGCGGAGAAGGCGAGCCGCAGUCAGGAAAGGGUCGGCCGACCCCCUGUGCUCUUCGGGGGUUCCGGGUGGGAGUCCUGUCCUUGUGGGGGUCUUGGUGGUUUCUGAUUCAGCGCCGGCCUCCAUUUUUUUCUCCCUUCACCUGCACA